GGAGAGAUGUCCGAGCGGCUUAAGGUGAUAGUCUCGAAAACUAUUGUACCCAAAAGGUACCGGGGGUUCAAAUCCCCCUCUCUCCG
Molecule: transfer RNA, 86 nt
Filed under: Anaerotalea alkaliphila
Lineage: Bacteria; Bacillati; Bacillota; Clostridia; Eubacteriales
Rfam family: tRNA
About the family: Transfer RNA (tRNA) molecules are approximately 80 nucleotides in length. Their secondary structure includes four short double-helical elements and three loops (D, anti-codon, and T loops). Further hydrogen bonds mediate the characteristic L-shaped molecular structure. tRNAs have two regions of fundamental functional importance: the anti-codon, which is responsible for specific mRNA codon recognition, and the 3' end, to which the tRNAs corresponding amino acid is attached (by aminoacyl-tRNA synthetases). tRNAs cope with the degeneracy of the genetic code in two manners: having more than one tRNA (with a specific anti-codon) for a particular amino acid; and 'wobble' base-pairing, i.e. permitting non-standard base-pairing at the 3rd anti-codon position.
Source: Rfam by way of RNAcentral